UGGGGAAUAUUGCACAAUGGGGGAAACCCUGAUGCAGCGACGCCGCGUGAGCGAUGAAGGCUUUCGAGUCGUAAAGCUCUGUCCUAUGGGAAGAUAAUGACGGUACCAUAGAAGAAAGCCCCGGCUAAUUACGUGCCAGCAGCCGCGGUAAUACGGAAGGGGCGAGCGUUGUCCGGAAUUAUUGGGCGUAAAGCGCGCGCAGGUGGUUUAGAAAGUCUGAUGUGAAAGCCCACGGCUCAACCGUGGAGGGUCAUUGGAAACUAAUAAACUUGAGUGCAGGAGAGAAAAGUGGAAUUCCUAGUGUAGCGGUGAAAUGCGUAGAGAUUAGGAGGAACACCGGUGGCGAAAGCGGCUUUUUGGCCUGCAACUGACACUGAGGCGCGAAAGCGUGGGGAGCAAACAGG
RNAcentral lists this ribosomal RNA (404 nucleotides) under Verrucomicrobiota bacterium. Its description in RNAcentral is "Verrucomicrobia bacterium partial 16S ribosomal RNA". It matches the Rfam family "Bacterial small subunit ribosomal RNA", at positions 355 to 776 of the family's 1533-position model. Lineage: Bacteria; Pseudomonadati; Verrucomicrobiota. The record is from RNAcentral.